RNAcentral lists this long non-coding RNA (973 nucleotides) under Cricetulus griseus (Chinese hamster). Its description in RNAcentral is "lncRNA (ENSCGRG00015037863.1)". The record is from RNAcentral. Lineage: Eukaryota; Metazoa; Chordata; Mammalia; Rodentia; Cricetidae.
AAUAAAAUGUGUGUUGCAACAUGAGCCACUUAAGCAAUAACUCAUAAAACUGCUGGUUGUAUUCUAGCAUGGAAGGAAAAAGGGCUCAUUAGUCUUUUCCCAACUUAAGGAUCCAUGGACAGAUUCCAAAACAUUAAUCCUUGGGAAGGGCCAGCAAAUGUUAGAUUGACUCCCAAGUUACAGUGAGAAGUUGAAGCACACUGUGAGUUUUAAGCAGCGAACUCAGCCUCAGUCCAGUCAAAUGACCUUGAAGAGAAGAGCUGCGAAAUAAUGUAACAUUUCUGAAGUUUCAGAUUGUCCCCUGGUUUCUGAGCAUCAGACAGGAAAGCUUUGUUCAAAGAUAGAUCCUCACAGGUUUACAAACAGACUGUAAUGAACAGUCACGGCCACGCUUAUUGAAGCAUUAAUUGAAAAGCUUUUCUUCAGACUAUAUCAAGGGCCCUGUACUCCUAACAUCUGCAUAUUUUUAGCCCUAUGAGAUAUCCUCAGAGUGCUCUCACCAGAAGAUAGCAAUUACUGCUCCCAAUAGAGCCUUCAUCCAGUAGCUGAGGGAAGCAGAAGCAGACACCCACAGCUAAACACUGAGCUGAACUCUGGAAUCCAGUUGCAGAGGAGGAAUGAUGAGCAAAGGUCAAGACCAGGCUGAAGAAACCCACAGAAACAACUGACCUGAACAAGGGGUUGCUCAUGGACCCCCAGACUGAUAGCCGAGAAUCUAACAUAGGACUAUUCCAGACCCCCUGAAGGAGGAAGUCAGUUUGGAGGUCUGGACAAUCUAUGGGGCCUCUGGUAUUAGAUCAGUAUUUACCCUUAGUACACAAAUGAACUUUGGGAGCCCUCUCCACAUAAAGGGAUAUUCUCUCAGCCUAGACACACUGGAGAGGGACUAGACCCUGCUCAAAAUGUUAUGACAGACUUUGAAGAUCCCCAUGGAAAGCCUCACCCUUCCUGGGGAGCAGAAAGUACUAGGGAU